GUUUCUAUGGUCUAGUUGGUCAUGACAUUCGCCUAACACGCGAAAGGUCCCCGGUUCGAACCCGGGUGGAAACA
Coccomyxa subellipsoidea C-169 is the source of this 74-nucleotide transfer RNA. It matches the Rfam family "tRNA". From Rfam's summary of the family: Transfer RNA (tRNA) molecules are approximately 80 nucleotides in length. Their secondary structure includes four short double-helical elements and three loops (D, anti-codon, and T loops). Further hydrogen bonds mediate the characteristic L-shaped molecular structure. tRNAs have two regions of fundamental functional importance: the anti-codon, which is responsible for specific mRNA codon recognition, and the 3' end, to which the tRNAs corresponding amino acid is attached (by aminoacyl-tRNA synthetases). tRNAs cope with the degeneracy of the genetic code in two manners: having more than one tRNA (with a specific anti-codon) for a particular amino acid; and 'wobble' base-pairing, i.e. permitting non-standard base-pairing at the 3rd anti-codon position. The record is from Rfam. Lineage: Eukaryota; Viridiplantae; Chlorophyta; Trebouxiophyceae; Coccomyxaceae.